UUACCCCUUGGUGAUUCAUGACUGGGGUGAAGUCGUAACAAGGUAACCGUAGGGGAACCUGCGGUUGGAUCACCUCCUUACCUUAAAGAA
RNAcentral lists this ribosomal RNA (90 nucleotides) under Salmonella enterica subsp. enterica serovar Dublin. RNAcentral's name for it is "partial 16S ribosomal RNA". The stretch from base 1 to 80 matches the Rfam family "Bacterial small subunit ribosomal RNA", at positions 1454 to 1533 of the family's 1533-position model. Lineage: Bacteria; Pseudomonadati; Pseudomonadota; Gammaproteobacteria; Enterobacterales; Enterobacteriaceae. The record is from RNAcentral.